AUUGAACGCAGGCGGCAGGCUUAACACAUGCAAGUCGAGCGGGGUGAUGGUGCUUGCACUAUCACUUAGCGGCGGACGGGUGAGUAAUGCUUAGGAAUCUGCCUAUUAGUGGGGGACAACAUCUCGAAAGGGAUGCUAAUACCGCAUACGUCCUACGGGAGAAAGCAGGGGAUCACUUGUGACCUUGCGCUAAUAGAUGAGCCUAAGUCGGAUUAGCUAGUUGGUGGGGUAAAGGCCUACCAAGGCGAGGAUCUGUAGCGGGUCUGAGAGGAUUAUCCGCCACACUGGGAAUGAGACACGGCCCAGACUCCUACGGGAGGCAGCAGUGGGGAAUAUUGGACAAUGGGGGGAACCCUGAUCCAGCCAUGCCGCGUGUGUGAAGAAGGCCUUUUGGUUGUAAAGCACUUUAAGCGAGGAGGAGGCUACCGAGAUUAAUACUCUUGGAUAGUGGACGUUACUCGCAGAAUAAGCACCGGCUAACUCUGUGCCAGCAGCCGCCGCGG
Molecule: ribosomal RNA, 503 nt
Filed under: uncultured bacterium
Lineage: Bacteria
Description: partial 16S ribosomal RNA
Rfam family: Bacterial small subunit ribosomal RNA
Source: RNAcentral